GACUGUGGCCAUACCGGCUUGUCAAAGCCUGAUCUCGUCAGAUCUCAGAUGCUAAGCAGAGCUGAGCCUGUUUAGUAUUUGGAUGGGAGACGUCUGGGAAUACCAGGUGCCGCAAUGG
Molecule: ribosomal RNA, 118 nt
Filed under: Periophthalmus magnuspinnatus
Lineage: Eukaryota; Metazoa; Chordata; Actinopteri; Gobiiformes; Gobiidae
Source: RNAcentral